AACCAGCAUUAGAAGCACUAGCAGCAGAAAAUUCCUCUCUGGAUAAAACUCACCAGCAACAACAUUCAGCGUUCUUACAGAUUCAGUGGGAUUCAGUGACUGGAAUCUAGCAUUGCGUCGAUUGGGCCUUCGAGUUCGAGGUAUGUGCUAGAAGGGGUGCGUCGAGGACCUGUUCAUGGCUGGCGACAUUACUGCAGAUCCCGGAGCCGCAGAUUCAUUCCAGAGUGAGGUGUCGCGUGCAUGGAGGACUGUGGUCGCCGUCAUCGAGCCCCGUGGACCCAUAAUGCACUUCGAAGCCUAUGGUUGCCUCAUGCGUGGGGUAGCUCCUGGCCGACCGCCGGUGUCGAGCUCCUGGGCGCCGCUGCUCUUUUUCUUUUUGGUGAGGGGCGCCGCCGCUCUUCUCCUCUCCUCUUUUCAUUUUCUAGAUGCAGUGAAGCGAUUUCAGACAAUGCGGAGGUGUGCGGGAAUUGAGUCAAGUUUUUCCCAUCAUUUUUUUCAUCUAAAAAAAGUGGUCGUAUUGGGGACUGGCGAGUACCAAUUGACAAAUCCAAAGCCGGAAUACAUUUAGCCAAACGCAAUUAAUGUUUAUUUUCAUUCCAUUUGCAACCCCGGCGGAUAUGUAUAGACUAUGGGAAUAUAGCCGUUGUUGAAUAGAGAUGUUGAAGAUUAGUCGUUGAGAUAUAAAUGUUGGAGAACGAAGUGCUAAGAAUAUAGCUGUUGUUGAAUAAAGACGUGGGAGAUUAGUCGGUGAGAUAUAAAGGUUGGAGAAUAGAGUGCCAAGAAUAUAGACGUUGUUGAAUAGAUACGUUGGAGAUUAGUCGGUGAGAUAUAAACGUUGGAUAAUAGAGUGCUAAGAAUAUAGCCGUUGUUGAAUAGAGACGUUGGAGAUUAGUCGGUGAGAUAUAAACGUUGGAGAAUAGAGUGGUAAGAAUAUAGCCGUUGUUGAAUAGAGACGUUGAAGAUUAGUCGGUGAGAUAUAAACGUUGGAGAAUAGAGUGCUGAGAUAUGAACAUUUAAAAAAAUGUUAGAUAAUAACGGCUAGAAAAUAGACGUUGCAAUAUAGACAUUAAAAAAAUAGAUUUGUCGUGCAUUAAGUGGGGAUUUAAUGGCUCCAUUCCGCUGCCACUAUAUAUAGAUGUUCACAUAGUCGAAGGAGGUAUGAACGUGUCCAAAUCAAAAAUAAGAAGCUUGAGAAUAUCCCAAAUCAUCAAAGCCUUGUUGUCCUGCCUUACCGUGCUACCACUCUCUGCUACCCUCACCUCUCCGCCCUUUCGCACCUCCCGAAUCACCUAGUCGCCAUUUCAGCUUCUUCACUGCUCCUGGUUAGUUUUUGCACUCACAAACCAUCAUGGCCACGCCCCAGAACACACCGAUGCUGACAGCAUCAGUCUGCGUCCCAGAGACUGUGCAUGGUACACACUCCUUCAAAAUCGACAGGUACGACCUUCAUCGGGGUUUCGAUGUCGGCAACUGCAUCCAGUCCGCUAACUUCACUGUUGGCGGCCAUGAAUGGUGCAUCCGCUUCUACCCCGACGGCUACAACGAGGAUAACAAAGACUACGUGUCAGUUUUUCUCCAGCUCAAGACCAAGAACAUUGAGGUGAGGGCGAUAUACAAUCUGAUGCUGGUCAAUCAAGCAAUACAGCCGCCGGUGUUGCCUUCCAACUUCGCAAACUUCAGCGACGGACCUCCUGUGGUGUUCGACACUCGCAAUGACAAACUCGAGGCAUGGGGUUUUGUCGCAUUCAAGAAGAAGUGGGAGAUCGAAGGCUCAUCAUACAUUUUGGACAACUCAAUCAUCGUCGCAUGUAACCUUACUAUUAUCACAUUAAAGGAUGCCAAGGAGGUGGAAGCUGGGUUGGUCGGUGACAUCCAAGUGCCGCCAUCCGAAUUGGUUGCUAACCUUAGUAAAUUGUUGGGAUCUACAAAGGGAGCUGACGUGUGUUUCAAGGUCCAAAAUGAGGUAUUCCAUGCUCACGAGAUCAUCCUCGCGAUGCGGUCGCCGGUCUUCUGGGCGGAGUUCUACGGGCCGAAGAGGAUCGAGCAUAGGCACGUCAAAAACAUUGAAGAUAUGCAGCCCGGUGUCUUUAGAGGACUGCUCCACUUCAUCUACACCGACUCGUUGCCUCCGAUGAAGGACCUCAAUGCUGGUGGGUACGAAGAAAUGCUCGGGCAUUUACUUGUGGCUGCAGAUAAAUAUGACAUGAAAAGUAUGAAGUCAAUGUGCGAGAGAAAACUUUGCCAGAGGUUUGAUCAAGAGACUCUGGCGACAACAUUUGUUCUGGCCGUCCAGUACAAUUGCAGCAUCCUCAAAGAUGCUUGCAUUAAAUUUAUCAACUCCUUGAGUACUGUGGAUGGUGUGGUUGCAAGUAAAGGGUAUCAACAACUAAAAAGAGAAUGCCCUACUAUCUUUGCCGAGAUGUGGGAGAAGGCAUCCAAGGCUCGAAAAUUUUAGAUGUUCACUCUAGAUAAAUUCUCCGAGUAGUUACUUCACUUGAUGCCAUAGCAACCUGAGAUCAUUAUUUUGUCUAUUUGUUUUGGAAAAUUGUAAGUUCUACAUAUGCUAUACCAACAGUAUCCAAUUAGAUGCUUUUGUCUAUUGAUGAGCAUCACAUUUACCAUUCCAAAGUAGUGCUCAUUUCAUUUUUCAAAGUAGUGAGCCAUUGGCUACCAAGACCACAUCUAUUGUGGAUUGUAGUGCAUCGUUAGAAAACAGAAACUGCAAGAAAUUCAUUGAUUGAUCCAAAAAUUGUACAUUAUAAAGUAAAAUACACCACAAUUUCUAAAACAAUUCGAGGGGUGUCACGUAAGUGAUAGUAUAAUGAAAAUUCAAAUUUGGGUCCUAAAAGUUUGCUAAGUGUGCCACUCGCGAUCCUAUUCGUGCUACAUCAGCUUUGACUUGCACGGGUCGCAAGUUUACCACUAUCAUGUGGCGAGUUUUUCCACAACCCCCCAUNNNNNNNNNNNNNNNNNNNNNNNNNNNNNNNNNNNNNNNNNNNNNNNNNNNNNNNNNNNNNNNNNNNNNNNNNNNNNNNNNNNNNNNNNNNNNNNNNNNNNNNNNNNNNNNNNNNNNNNNNNNNNNNNNNNNNNNNNNNNNNNNNNNNNNNNNNNNNNNNNNNNNNNNNNNNNNNNNNNNNNNNNNNNNNNNNNNNNNNNNNNNNNNNNNNNNNNNNNNNNNNNNNNNNNNNNNNNNNNNNNNNNNNNNNNNNNNNNNNNNNNNNNNNNNNNNNNNNNNNNNNNNNNNNNNNNNNNNNNNNNNNNNACAAACCUACGCAGGUGUUGUCUAGCCAUCAAUCUGACCAACCCUUCCAUCCCAUUCCCCUUAUUCUCUCGCAUGAUCCAAUCAUUGCCAUCCCGCAUCUGUGUUGCCACUAAUUGUGUUGUGACAUGACCAGCUUCAUCUCGCUCUUCUACUUGGUUCGCCACUGCUACUGUCAGCUCCACCGCGUGUGGUAGUGAACCACGGUGCAGAAGGGGUCGGGGCCUCUCUACUGAUGGUACGCCUACCGAUGUGAGGAUGCUGGGCGCUGGCACCAGGCCAGAUGAAGAUGCGUCCUACCACCGCGGCCUUGCCGUGACAAGUAUAUUUGUUUUGACUAUCAAAAAUUACUUUUUUAUGACAAUGGCAACUCUAUUUAUUUGACAAUGGCAAAUUUCUUUUUUGCACGGUGUAUUGUUUUCGUUAUCUCACCAUGGCAAAUUUACAUUGUAGACCAUCGCCCAUUUUAUUUUUGGACCAAGGCAAAAGUCUUUUUAGCUUUUGCCAUGUCACACAAUAUAGUUUUGACCAUAUUAGUAAUAAAAUUCUUGCCAUGCACAAAAACAUUUUAUAUAAGGCAAAGUUGUUAAAACAUUUUACAUGGCAAAUUCACUUUAUGGCCCUUGGCAAAUUGCUUUUUUUAGACAAUGUCAAACUUCCUUUGAGACCAUGGAAAAUUUAUUGUUUGGACCAUGGCAAAAUCAUUGCUUGGACCAUGGCAAAUUUGUUUUGUUUUGGACAAUGGAAAAUUUCUUUCUAAACACCAAGCAAACUUUUAUCUUAUACAAUAUCAUAUAUUUUUAUUUAGAUUUUUUGUAACAUUGCAAAUUUGUUUAUCAAAGCAUGUUGAAAGGGCAUGUAGCCCCUAAGUGUGGUUUUGGUGAUUAAUGACAAUCUCUAUGGACUAAUGUUUUCAUUGAAAUGUAUUUGAAGGGAUUGUCCAUAGAUGGUGCAUCAAGGAUAUUAGAUGGAAUCAAGGAUAAAGUCCAUAUAUAUGAAGAUAUGUUUGCUCUAAGUAUUCGUACUAAUUGACAAAUUCCUAUGGAGCAUCAAAAGCAUUGAAUCCUAUAUGAAGAAAUGUCCCAUAGUGAUGCAUGAAGCUUGUUGGAUUUAUGUGGGAAGAAUGCCAUAAAAAUAUUCGAAGAAGUCCUCAUGGUAUCCCUCUUUGGAUACACCAUGCGCACGGGCCUCCUGACCCCCGUGCGCAUGGGGUCAAGUGUCAACUCUCUGGAUACACCGUGCACACGGGGUCCAUGACCCCCGUGCACACGGGACCUAGGUUUUGGCACUCGAGGCCCCAUAUCCAGUGAGUUUUCAAGUUGGUCUUUGGGGAUUUAUGUUGAAGCCAUCAAGAUUGAUUUUAAUGUCUAACCAAAUAUAUUCAAGGUGGAGUUCGUUAGAGGAUCUCAAAGAUAGACAUAUGUGGGCUUUUAAGGAUCAAGAGCUUGAGAGUACAAUCAAAUAGAAUAAUUCAAGUUAUGGUUUCAAGACAAGAUCAUGGUAAGCUCAUGUGUUGGGUUUUCGGUUGAUCAAGUCUUGAAGCAAGCAACUAGAGUGAAGAAUUCAUUGUGCCUCUCAAGAGAUUAUGAUGGAGUUUUUAGAGAGAAAAUGAUGACCAAUAUGAUAUUCAUAGUCAAACUUGAUAUGGUCAUGAAAGAAUCUUUGGUGAUAUCUUUCUUGAAGCAAUGAAGGGAAAUGAAGAGUUCAUUGUGGCUUUCAAGAAACCAAGGUGGGACAUGAAGUAAAGAUGUUGGUUGACCAAGAUGAAGCUCAAAGAUUAUCUAGAUGGUCAACUCUCAAAGCGCAAUCUUUGUACCACAUGGGAUCAAGUGAUCUAGUGGUAUGGUAAGUAACUGUGAAUUGUGCUUUGCUAGCUAACCCAUGCUAUGUGCUUUCUAUGUCUAUGUGGGUUAGCUGUUUCUCAUGGGCUUGCAUCAAAAGAUAGAUUUCAAGUAGCCUAUGUGUGGAUGACAUCAAGUGGUGAUGGUUAUCGGGUUCGAGGAGUCCAAGUGCAAGAUGAGAAGCCGAAGGUUAUAUGCUAUGAAGUUUGUGGUACACAUCAUGAUAAUGUGCAUGUGAAGAUGGGCUUAAGUUAAGGCGUCCCUCAUUGCAAUAUGAGGAAGCAUUUCGAGUAUGUUCACCAAGUGAUUGUGGACAAGAAAAAGAUACAACUUGGGGCAAGAAUCAAAGUCAUCACCAAGCUCAAGCUGAAUGUGCAAGGCAAAGGUAUACCUUAGCUAAGUUUUCCUAGUUUUUCCGGUCUCAUGGAGCUUGGAGGGAGAGUGGAUUAUAGGUUUGAUAGUCGUACUAUCAAGAGGGACUUUCAGGCGAGUAGCUUGAUCACAUUGCAUGUAGAGAGCUCAAAACUUUGCAUUACCUGCAGCAAUAUUUAUUGUUGAUCUUGGGUGGUUCUCUAUGUGAGGACCUUGGGCUUUUCUCUAGCUUCAAAACGAGCCUAAGAUCAUCGAAUUCAGAGUCUGUAUGCCAAAGUUAUCACUGUUUUAGUAAGCUGUUGCAGGCUGUUGUGGGUACCCCGUGGACAUGGGGUUUUUGACCCCCGUGGGCACGGGGCCCCGUGCACACGGGCUUGUACCGUGCUCACGGGACCCGUGGGCACGGGGUCUAAACCCCCAUGGGCACGGGGUGUCCAGGAACUGCCCGUUGAGCCCCAACGACUAGUUUUGGGUUUUGGCUAUUUAAGGGCUCCUCCCUCCCACCGAUUGGGGUGUUCUUCAUACACUUUCUAAACAUCAUUUUGAGCCUAUUACCACCUCUCCCAAACCCCUAUCUCCCAUCUAAGUGAAGGGGAAUUUCUGGAUGGAUCUUGGAGUCAUUUGUUGAUUCCCUUCAUUGCAUCCCCUCUCUUCAAUCUCCUACUUUCUUGAGUUGCAUCUUGUGAGAUUGAGAGAGUGUGUUGAGCAUUUGUUGCUUGACCUUGCAUUGCAUUUGUUGCAUUUGUUUGAGCUCCCCGCGUCGAUUUGUUCGAGUGUGAGCCCGUGAGUUUAUUACUCUUGGAGGCUUCCGCCUCCUAGACGGUUUGGUGAUAUAUUGAGAAGUUUGUGGAGAGGCCUAGGUGGCCAAGGUUCGUCCGGAAGCUUCCUUUUGUUGUGUGCUCCGAGGAAGGGUGUGAAGUGGCCUAGGUGGUCAAGUUCUUCCGGAAGCUUUCGUGUUUGUGGUGUGCUCCGGAGAAGUUUUUAAAGGUGUGGUGGUCGCCUUCAAGACCAACCCCGAGUGAAUCAAGGCUCACCCGUUGGGGUGACUCAAAAGGGAGAAUACGGUGAGUCACUUGGUGACGCCCCCGAGCUUUGGCUUCGGCACUGCUCCAAUGGAGAUUAGCACUCUCACGAGUGUGAACUUCGGGAUAAAUCCGCGUCCCCGACUCACUUGUGGUUAUCUCGUACCCACACCCUUUACUUUCCGCAAUUCAUACUUGCUCUUAUUGAUACAUCUUGUGCUAGUUGGAUUGCUUAGUUGUUCCUACAUUUUUCAUAUCUUGUGAUAUAGUUUGUGCUUCCUAGUUUCCUUAAGUGUCUAUCUUGUUUAGCAUAGGUUAUUGGUGCACUUAGUUGAGCCUAGCAUAUUUAAGAUUUGUGCUUGAAAAGUAUCCAUUAGUUUAAUUCCGCAUUAGGAUAUAGCUUAAUCCAUAAAAGUUUUAAAAAGCCUAUUCACCCCCCUCUAGUCGUCAUCUAGAUCAUUUCAAUUGGUAUCAGAGCUUUGGUCUCUCCUUGGUAGGCAUCACCUCCUAGAGAGUAAAGAUGUCGAGUAGUGGUACAGUGCAUGAUGACACCUUUUGUUUUAGUGGCACAAACUAUCACUUGUGGAAAAUUCGCAUGCUUUGUAUUUCCGGACCACGGGUCCAAAUUUUGUGCGAAUUGUUCUUGUAAGGGCUCCUCCAUAGAAGGAUGACCUUUUUCCAACUAAUGAGGAAAAUGAUGAUAUGCUUUGUGGGUAUGGUGCUAAGAAUGCCAUAAUCCGGUCUAUAUCCCUCGACACUACUAGGGAAAUGCUUAUACACAGGAGCUCACCAGUAGCGCUUGUUCAAGGAAAGCGUUGUUGCUAUAUAGCAGUAGCACUUGGGCAGCAUGGGCGCUGCUACUACGAUCAUAGCAGCAGCACUGAGCCUAUAAACGCGCUCCUACUACAAUUGACAGACCGUUCCAGGUAUGCUAGGGAUAGUGGUAGCGCUCACUUUUUGCAAGCGCUACUACUAUGAAUCUUAGCAAUAGCGUUUUAUCAUGAUAGUGGUAGCUAAGUCAUCGAGUGGUUGACCAGUCUCGCGCUUUAUGAUGACAAUCAGUUUUCGGCUUUCUCUACUGAGGUGCUCAUCCAGAUGAACCGGGGCACAAUCACAGUAGUUCUCCUGGUGCCACCUUAGCCGAUAGAGAGAAACGUAAGGUAGCAAAACACGGGAGCUGGGCAAACCCACCUAUUGACCAAAGACAUGAUUCGGAGCUGAUGCAUAUAAGGCCAAACUCGCGACGCCGAACACUCCCUAAGGUAUUCGGACUUUACAACAUAUACUUGGCUGAGUAACGCCUUCCAUAAUGAGCCCUGAAUUUCCAGAUACAUGCAUAGGUUUGGCGUGAUGAAAUGCCAAUAACGCCAGCAUCCACCUCUCGGUUGCGUUGAGUGCCUGGAGGGUGUGAAGCAACACGAGACAUUAAAAAAGGUUUACGCAGGGUCUUAAUCUAAAGAGAAACCUUUGAUCGGGGCCCUGCUGCACACCUGCGCCUUUGUCUCCGUUGUGCCGUACCCUGGAAGCGUGUAGCACGAUGAUCAUCUAUAAAAAAAGGAAAAAGCCCAGGUGAAAGACUUCGUGCGAAAAGUUGAUUAUUCUUAAUGAACCAUGAAAAUGUAAUCUAUUAUUGUAUUAAUAGGGUCAAGCCGGAUUAUGGGCUUUUUUACAUGCGUGCAGCCCCUAGCACCACCUAUUGGGGUAUAUCCAUCGACCCAAGCUCGGGUUUAUCUGGGCUGCUACAACUAGUGGUGCGCCGGACUCAUCUAACCGUGUCCGCGGUCUUGACGACCGAUCAUUUAUCCUGGUUGGAGAGGUCAUUCAGUGUUCGGCUGCUAGAGCCGCCGCAUAUUAUUCUGCACGUAAGGAACGCUCUGUAUUUUCGCUAACUGUGAUGACGCCACGUGGACCGGGCAUCUUAAGUUUAAGAUAAGCAUAAUGCGGUACUGCAUUGAAACGAGCGAAGGCCGUUCUUCCGAGUAGUGCGUGAUAGCCGCUUCGAAAUGGGGCGAUAUCGAAGAUUAAUUCUUCGCUUCAGAAGUUGUCAGGAGAACCGAAUACAACCUCUAGUACUAGAGAGCCCGUGCAGCGGGCCUCUACGCCUGGUAUUACUCCUUUAAAGGUAGUACUGCUUUGGCUGAUUCUUGACGGGUCUAUCCCCAUCUUGCGGACAGUGUCCUGAUAUGUCAGAUUAAGACUACUGCCGCCGUCCAUGAGGACUCGGGUGAGAUGGUAUCCGUCAGUUAUUGGGUCGAGCACCAAGGCAGCCGAUCCUCCGUGUCAGAUACUAGUCGGGUGAUCCUUGCGAUCAGAAGUGAUCGGGCAGGCCGACCAAGAGUUAAACUUGGGGCCAACGGGCUCUACAGCGUAUACGUCUCGGAGUGCGUGUUUGCGCCUCCUUUUACGUAUAUGAGUUGCGUGUAUCAUGUUCACUGUUUUGACCUCUGGUGGAAUUUUUUUCUGUCCCCGAGUGUUCGGCUGGUGAGGCUGAUCCUCGUCUUCACAAGGCGUCUCCCUUCCCUUGUGUUCGGCGUUUAGUUUGCCGGCCUGCUUGAAGACCAAGCAUUCUCUGUUGGUGUGAUUUGCAGGUUUUUCGGGGGUGCCAUGAAUCUGACAUAAUCUGUCUAGAAUCUUGUUUAGGCUAGACAAUCCAUCUCUGCUGCCUUUAAAUGGCUUUUUCCAUUGACCGGGUCGAGAGCCCCUGAAUCCGGUAUUGACCGCCGUGUUGUAUGGGCUGUCUUCAUUAUUCCGACGCUUGUUUUUAUUGCGUCGUGGCUUCCCGUUCCCAUCCCUGACUUCGGAUGUGCCUGGGUCGCUGGUGCCACUUCGGGCCAACCAGCUGUCCUCGCCCGCGCAGAAGCGGGUCAUAAGGCUUGUUAGGGCUUCCAUUGUCCUUGGCUUUUCUUGGCCAAGGUGUCUGGCGAGCCAUUCAUCUCGAAUACUGUGCUUGAAAGCCGCUAAGGCUCCGGCAUCCGGGGAGUCGACGAUUUGGUUCUUCUUUGUGAGAAAUCUGUUCCAAAGCUAACGGGCUGACUCUCCGGGUUGUUGGAUUAUGUGACUUAAAUCGUCUGCAUCCGGAGGUCGGACAUAGGUCCUUGAAAAUUGGCCCCGAAAGCAUCCUCAAGUUCCUCCCAACUUCCAAUUGAAUUUUCAGGGAGGCUUUUCAACCAAUGUCGAGCUGGUCCUUUCUGUUGGAAAUAUGCCCUAGAGGCAAUAAUAAAAGGAUUAUUAUUAUAUUUCCUUGUUCAUGAUAAUUGUAUUUUAUUCAUGCUAUAACUGUCUUAUCCGGAAAUCGUAAUACACGUGUGAAUACAUAGACCAUAACAUGUCCCUAGUGAGCCUCUAGUUGACUAGCUCGUUGGUCAACAGAUAGUCAUGGUUUCCUGACUAUGGACAUUAGAUGUCAUUGACAACGGGAUCACAUCAUUAGGAGAAUGAUGUGAUGGACAAGACCCAAUCCUAAGCAUAGCAUAAGAUCGUGUAGUUCGUUUUGCUAGAGCUUUUCCAAUGUCAAGUAUCUCUUCCUUAGACCAUGAGAUCGUGUAACUCCCGGAUACCGUAGGAGUGCUUUGGGUGUACCAAACGUCACAACGUAACUGGGUGACAAUAAAGGUGCACUACAGGUAUCUCCGAAAGUGUCUGUUGGGUUGUCACGGAUCGAGACUGGGAUUUGUCACUCCGUAUGACGGAGAGGUAUCACUGGGCCCACUCAGAAGUGCAUCAUCAUAAUGAGCUCAAAGUGACCAAGUGUUUGGUCACGGGAUCAUGCAUUACGGUACGAGUAAAGUGACUUUCCGGUAAUGAGACUAACGAGGUAUUGGGAUACCGACGAUCGAGUCUCGGGCAAGUAAUAUACCGUCUGACAAAGGGAAUUGCAUAUGGGGUUGAUUGAAUCCUCGACAUCGUGGUUCAUCUGAUGACAUCAUCGAGGAGCAUGUGGGAGCCAACAUGGGUAUCUAGAUCCCGAUGUUGGUUAUUGACCGGAGAGCCGUCUCGGUCAUGUCUGCAUAUCUCCCGAACCCGUAGGGUCUACACACUUAAGGUUCGGCGACGCUAGGGUUAUUAGGAAGACUUGUAUGUGAUUACCUAAAGUUGUUCGGAGUCCCGGAUGGGAUCCCGGACAUCACGAGGAGUUCCGGAAUGGUCCGGAGGUAAAGAUUUAUAUAUGGGAAGUUGUCAUAUGGACACCGGAAGGUUUCGGGGGCAUAUCGGUAUUGUACCGGGGCCACCGGAAGGGUUCCGGGGGUCCACCGGGAGGGGCCACCCCUCCCGAGGGGGCCACAUGGGCCGCGUGGGGCAGGAGCCAGCCCCUGGAGGGCUGGGCGCCCCCCCCCCUUGGGCCCAUGCGCCUAGGGUUGGGGGGAACCCUAGAGGGGGCGCCCCCCUUGCUUGGGGGGCAAGUCCCCCCUCCCUGGCCGCCGCCCCCCCCNNNNNNNNNNNNNNNNNNNNNNNNNNNNNNNNNNNNNNNNNNNNNNNNNNNNNNNNNNNNNNNNNNNNNNNNNNNNNNNNNNNNNNNNNNNNNNNNNNNNNNNNNNNNNNNNNNNNNACACCCAAGCCAAGGCGCAGCCCCUCCCCUCCCCAACACCUCUCCUCCUCCGUUGUGUGCUUGGCGAAGCCCUGUCGGAGUACUGCCUCUCCACCAUCAUCACGCCGUCGUGCUGCUGCUGGAGCCUUCUUCCUCAACCUCUCCUUCCCCCUUGCUGGAUCAAGAAGGAGGAGACGUCGCCCGUACCGUACGUGUGUUGAACGCGGAGGUGCUGUCCGUUCAGCACUUGAUCAUCGGUGAUCUGAAUCACGGUGAGUACGACUCCAUCAUCACCGUUCCCUCAAACGCUUCCGUACGCGAUCUACAAGUGGUAUAUAGAUGCAAACUCACUCCCUUGACUCGUUGCUUAGAUGAACUCAUAGAUGGAUCUUGGUGAAACCAUAGAAAAAAUUUUAAUUUUCUGCAAUGUUCCCCAACAGUGGCAUCAUGAGCUAGGUCUAUGCGUAGUUCUCUAUUGCACGAGUAGAACACAAUUUUGUUGUGGGCGUAGAUCUUAUCAACUUGCUUGCUGCUACUAGUCUUAUCUUGCUUCAGCGGUAUUGUGGGAUGAAGCGGCCCGGACCAACCUUACACGUACGCUUACGUGAGACCGGUUCCACCGACUGACAUGCACUAGUUGCAUAAGGUGGCUGGCGGGUGUCUGUCUCUCCCACUUUAGUUGGAGCGGAUUCGAUGAAAAGGGUCCUUAUGAAGGGUAAAUAGAAGUUGACAAGAUCACGUUGUGGUUAUUCGUAGGUAAGAAAACGUUCUUGCUAGAACCCAAUUGUAGCCACGUAAAAGAUGCAACAACAAUUAGAGGACGUCUAACUUGUUUUUGCAGCAAUUGUCAUGUGAUGUGAUAUGGCCAGAAGUUGUGAUGAAUGAUGAAUGAUAUAUUGUGAUGUAUGAGAUCAUGUUCUUGUAAUAAGAAUCACGACUUGCAUGUCGAUGAGUAUGACAACCGGCAGGAGCCAUAGGAGUUGUCUUUAUUUUUUGUAUGACCUGCGUGUCAUUGAAGAAUGCCAUGUAAAUUACUUUACUUUAUUGCUAAACGCGUUAGCCAUAGAAGUAGAAGUAGUCGUUGGCGUGACAACUUCAUGAAGACACAAUGAUGGAGAUCAUGAUGAUGGAGAUCAUGGUGUCAUGCCGGUGACAAAGAUGAUCAUGGAGCCCCGAAGAUGGAGAUCGAAGGAGUUGUAUGAUAUUAGACAUAUCAUGUCACUACUAUAUAAUUGCAUGUGAUGUUUAUUAUGUUUUAUGCAUCUUGUUUACUUAGAACGACGGUAGUAAAUAAGAUGAUCCCUUAUAAUAAUUUCAAGAAAGUGUUCCCCCUAACUGUGCACCGUUGCUAAAGUUCGUCGUUUCGAAGCACCACGUGAUGAUCGGGUGUGAUAGAUCCUUACGUUCACAUACAACAGGUGUAAGACAGAUUUACACAUGCAGAACACUUAGGGUUAACUUGACGAGCCUAGCAUGUACAGACAUGGCCUCGGAACACAAGAGACCGAAAGGUCGAACAUGAGUCGUAUAGAAGAUACGAUCAACAUGGAGAUGUUCACUGAUGAUGACUAGUCCAUCUCACGUGAUGAUCGGACACGGCCUAGUCGACUCGGAUCAUGUAACACUUAGAUGACUGGAGGGAUGUCUAAUCUGAGUGGGAGUUCAUUAAAUAAUUUGAUUAGAUGAACUUAAUUAUCAUGAACUUAGUCUAAAACUUUUGCAAAAUAUGUCUUGUAGAUCAAAUGGCCAACGCUCAUGUCAACAUGAACUUCAACGCGUUCCUAGAGAAAACCAAGCUGAAAGAUGAUGGCAGCAACUAUACGGACUGGGUCCGGAACCUGAGGAUCAUCCUCAUAGCUGCCAGGAAACAAUAUGUCCUAGAAGGACCGCUAGGUGAUGCACCCGUCCCAGAGAACCAAGACAUUAUGAAUGCUUGGCAGACUCGCGCUGAUGAUUACUCCCUCAUUCAGUGCGGCAUGCUUUACAGCUUAGAACCGGGGCUCCAAAAGCGUUUUGAGCAACACGGAGCAUAUGAGAUGUUCGAGGAGCUGAAACUAGUUUUCCAAGCUCAUGCCCGGGUCGAGAGAUAUGAAGUCUCCGACAAGUUCUAUAGUUGUAAGAUGGAGGAAAAUAGUUCUGUCAGUGAGCAUAUACUCAAAAUGUCUGGGUUGCACAACCGCUUGUCCAGCUGGACAUUAACCUCUCGGAUGAGGCGGUCAUUGACAGAAUCCUUUAGUCGCUCCCACCAAGCUACAAGAGCUUUGUGAUGAACUACAAUAUGCAGGGGAUGGUAAAGACCAUUCCUGAAGUAUUUUCAAUGCUGAAGUCAGCAGAGGUUGAAAUCAAGAAAGAACAUCAAGUGUUGAUGGUCAAUAAGACCACUAAGUUCAAGAAGGGCAAGGGUAAGAAGAACUUCAAGAAGGGCGGCAAAGAUGUUGCCGCGCCCGGUAAGCCAGUUGCCGGGAAGAAGUCAAAGAAUGGACCCAAGCCUGAAACUGAGUGCUUUUAUUGCAAGGGGAAGGGUCACUGGAAGCGGAACUGCCCCAAAUACUUAGCGGAUAAGAAGGCCGGCAACACAAAAGGUAUAUUUGAUAUACAUGUAAUUGAUGUGUACCUUACCAGUACUCGUAGUAACUCCUGGGUAUUUGAUACCGGUGCCGUUGCUCACAUUUGUAACUCACAGUAGGGGCUGCGGAAUAAGCGGAGACUGGCGAAGGACGAGGUGAUGAUGCGCGUCGGGAAUGGUUCCAAGGUCGAUGUGAUCGCCGUUGGCACGCUACCUCUACAUUUACCUACGGGAUUAGUUUUAAACCUCAAUAAUUGUUAUUCAGUGCCAAGUUUGAGCAUGAACAUUGUAUCAGGAUCUCGUUUAAUACGAGAUGGCUACUCAUUUAAAUCCGAGAAUGAUGGUUGUUCUAUUUAUAUGAGAGAUAUGUUUUAUGGUCAUGCCCCAAUGGUCAAUGGUUUAUUCCUAAUGAAUCUCGAACGUAAUAUUACACAUAUUCAUAGCGUGAAUACCAAAAGAUGUAAAGUUGAUAACGAUAGUCCCACAUACUUGUGGCACUGCCGCCUUGGUCACAUUGGUGUCAAGCGCAUGAAGAAGCUCCAUGCUGAUGGACUUUUAGAGUCUCUCGAUUAUGAAUCAUUUGACACAUGCGAACCAUGCCUCAUGGGCAAAAUGACCAAGACCCCGUUCUCCGGAACAAUGGAGCGAGCAACCAACUUGUUGGAAAUCAUACAUACUGAUGUGUGCGGUCCAAUGAGCGUUGAGGCUCGCGGAGGAUAUUGUUAUGUUCUCACUCUCACUGAUGACUUGAGUAGAUAUGGGUAUGUCUGCUUGAUGAAACACAAGUCUGAGACCUUUGAAAAGUUCAAGGAAUUUCAGAAUGAAGUAGAGAAUCAACGUGACCGAAAGAUAAAAUUCUUACGAUCGGAUCAUGGAGGAGAAUAUUUAAGUCACGAGUUUGUUACACACUUAAGAAAAUGUGGAAUCGUUUCACAACUCACGCCGCCUGGAACACCUCAGCGUAACGGUGUGUCCGAAUAUCGUAAUCGCACUCUACUAGAUAUGGUGCGAUCUAUGAUGUCUCUUACCGAUUUACCGCUAUCAUUUUGGGGAUACGCUCUAGAGACAGCUACAUUCACUUUAAAUAGGGCACCGUCUAAAUCCGUUGAGACGACACCAUAUGAAUUAUGGUUUGGGAAGAAACCUAAGCUGUCGUUUCUAAAAGUUUGGGGAUGCGAUGCUUAUGUCAAGAAACUUCAACCUGAAAAGCUCGAACCCAAGUCGGAAAAAUGCGUCUUCAUAGGAUACCCUAAAGAAACCAUUGGGUAUACCUUCUACUUAAGAUCCGAAGGCAAGAUCUUUGUUGCCAAGAACAGAUCCUUUCUGGAAAAAGUGUUUCUCUCGAAAGAAGUAAGUGGGAGGAAAGUAGAACUCGAUGAAGUACUACCUCUUGAACAGGAUAGUAGUGCAGCUCAGGAAAAUGUUCCUGUGAUGCCUACACCAACUGAAGAGGAAAACAAUGAUGAUGAUCAAGGUACUUCGGAUCAAGUUGCUACUGAACUUCGUAGGUCCACAAGGACACGUUCCGCACCAGAGUGGUACGGCAACCCUGUCCUGGAAAUCAUGUUGUUGGACAACGGUGAACCUUCGAACUAUGAAGAAGCAAUGGCGGGCCCAGAUUCCAACAAAUGGCUAGAAGCCAUGAAAUCCGAGAUAGAAUCCACGUAUGAAAACAAAGUAUGGACUUUGACUGACUUGCCCGAUGAUCGGCGAGCGAUAGAAAACAAAUGGAUCUUUAAGAAGAAGACGGACGCAGAUGGUAAUGUCACCAUCUAUAAAGCUCGACUUGUCGCUAAGGGUUAUUGGCAAGUUCAAGGGAUUGACUAUGAUGAGACUUUCUCUCCCGUAGCGAAGCUUAAGUCCGUCCGAAUCAUGUUAGCAAUUGCUGCAUACUAUGAUUAUGAGAUAUGGCAGAUGGACGUCAAAACGGCAUUCCUUAACGGGCAUCUUAAGGAAGAAAUGUAUAUGAUGCAGCCGGAGGGUUUUGUCGAUCCUAAGAAUGCUAACAAAGUAUGCAAGCUCCAACGAUCCAUUUAUGGGCUGGUGCAAGCAUCUCGGAGUUCGAACAUUCGCUUUGAUGAGAUGAUCAAAGCGUUUGGGUUUAUGCAGACUUAUGGAGAAGCCUGCGUUUACAAGAAAGUGAGUGGGAGCUCCGUAGCAUUUCUCAUAUUAUAUGUAGAUGACAUAUUUUUGAUGGGAAAUGAUAUAGAAUUCUUGGACAGCAUUAAGGCCUACUUGAAUAAGUGUUUUUCAAUGAAGGACCUUGGAGAAGCUGCUUAUAUAUUAGGCAUCAAGAUCUAUAGGGAUAGAUCGAGACGCCUCAUAGGUCUUUCACAAAGCACAUACCUUGAUAAGAUUUUGAAGAAGUUCAAAAUGGAUCAGUCCAAGAAAGGGUUCUUGCCUGUACUGCAAGGUGUGACAUUGAGCUCGGCUCAAUGCCCGACCACGGCAAAAGAUAAAGAAGAGAUGAGCGUCAUCCCCUAUGCCUCAGACAUAGGAUCUAUUAUGUAUGCCAUGCUGUGUACCAGACCUGAUGUAAACCUUGUCGUAAGUUUGGUAGGUAGGUACCAAAGUAAUCCCGGCAAGGAACACUGGACAGCGGUCAAGAAUAUCCUGAAGUACCUGAAAAGGACAAAGUGAAGGAAAUAUGCCCUAGAGGCAAUAAUAAAGUUAUUAUUUAUUUCCUCAUAUCAUGAUAAAUGUUUAUUAUUCAUGCUAGAAUUGUAUUAACCGGAAACAUGAUACAUGUGUGAAUACAUAGACAAACAUAUAGUCACUAGUAUGCCUCUACUAGACUAGCUCGUUAAUCAAAGAUGUUAUGUUUCCUAACCAUAGACAUGUGUUGUCAUUUGAUUAAUGGGAUCACAUCAUUAGGAGAAUGAUGUGAUUGACAUGACCCAUUCCGUUAGCCUAGCACUUGAUCGUUUAGUAUAUUGCUAUUGCUUUCUUCAUGACUUAUACAUGUUCCUGUAACUAUGAGAAUUAUGCAACUCCCGUUUACCGGAGGAACACUUUGCAUACUACCAAACGUCACAACGUAACUGGGUGAUUAUAAAGGAGUACUAUAGGUGUCUCCGAAGGUACAUGUUGAGUUGGCGUAUUUCGAGAUUAGGUUUUGUCACUCCGAUUGUCGGAGAGGUAUCUCUGGGCCCUCUCGGUAAUGCACAUCACUAUAAGCCUUGCAAGCAAUGUGACCAAAUGAUUUGGUUACGGGAUGAAGCAUUACGGAACGAGUAAAGAGACUUGCCGGUAACGAGAUUGAACUAGGUAUUGGAUACCGACGAUCAAAUCUCGGGCAAGUAACAUACCGAUGACAAAGGGAACAACGUAUGUUGUUAUGCAGUUUGACCGAUAAAGAUCUUCGUAGAAUAUGUAGGAACCAAUAUGAGCAUCCAGGUUCCGCUAUUAGUUAUUGACCGAGAAUAGUUCUAGGUCAUGUCUACAUAGUUCUCGAACCUGUAGGGUCCGCACGCUUAACGUUACGAUAACAGUUUUAUUAUGAGUUUAUAAGUUUUGAUGUACCGAAGUUUGUUCGGAGUCCCGGAUGUGAUCACGGACGUAACGAGGAGUCUCGAAAUGGUCGAGACAUAAAGAUUGAUAUAUUGGAAGCCUAUAUUUGGACAUCGGAAUCGUUCCGGGUGNNNNNNNNNNNNNNNNNNNNNNNNNNNNNNNNNNNNNNNNNNNNNNNNNNNNNNNNNNNNNNNNNNNNNNNNNNNNNNNNNNNNNNNNNNNNNNNNNNNNNNNNNNNNNNNNNNNNNNNNNNNNNNNNNNNNNNNNNNNNNNNNNNNNNNNNNNNNNNNNNNNNNNNNNNNNNNNNNNNNNNNNNNNNNNNNNNNNNNNNNNNNNNNNNNNNNNNNNNNNNNNNNNNNNNNNNNNNNUGCGCCCCUCCCCUUCCUAGUCCGAAUAGGACAAGGGAAAGGGGGCGGCGCCCCCCCUUUCCUUCCCCUCUUCCUCCUCUUUCCCCCCUUCUCCUAUUCCAACUAGGAAAGAAGGGAGUCCUACUCCCGGUGGGAGUAGGACUCCCCCCUUGGCGCGCCCUCCUUGGCUGGCCGCCUCCUCCCCCCUGGCUCCUUUAUAUACGGGGGUGGGGGGCAACCCAUGGACACACAAGUUGAUCUACGAUCGUUCCUUAGCCGUGUGCAGUGCCCCCCUCCACCAUAUUCCACCUCGGUCAUAUCGUCACAAAGCUUAGGCGAAGCCCUGCGCCGGUAGAACAUCAUCAUCGUCACCACACCAUCGUGCUGACGGAACUCAUCCCCGAAGCUUUGCUGGAUCGGAGCCCGGGGAUCGUCAUCGAGCUGAACGUGUGUUGAACUCGGAGGUGCCGUACGUUCGGUGCUUGGAUCGGUCGGAUCGUGAAGACGUACGACUACAUCAACCGCGUUGUGCUAACGCUUCCGCUUACGGUCUACGAGGGUACGUGGACAAACACUCUCCCCUCUCGUUGCUAUGCCAUCACCAUGAUCUUGCGUGUGCGUAGGAAAUUUUUUGAAAUUACUACGUUCCCCAACAGUGGUAUCCGAGCCUAGGUUUUAUGCGUUGAUGUUAUAUGCAUGAGUAGAACACAAGUGAGUUGUGGGCGAUACAAGUCAUACUGCUUACCAGCAUGUCAUACUUUGGUUCAGCAGUAUUGUGAGAUGAAGCGGCCUGGACCGACAUUACGCGUAUGCUUACUCGAGACUGGUUUCACCGUUGCGAGCACUCAUGCUUAAAGGUGGCUGGCGGGUGUCUGUCUCUCUCAGUUUAGCUGAAUCGAGUGUGGCUACGCCCGGUCCUUGCGAAGGUUAAAACAGCACCAACUUGACGAACUAUCGUUGUGGUUUUUAUGCGUAGGUAAGAACGGUUCUUGCUAAAGCCCGUAGCAGCCACGUAAAAUUUGCAACAACAAAGUAGAGGACGUCUAACUUGUUUUUGCAGGGCAUGUUGUGAUGUGAUAUGGUCAAGACGUGAUGCUAUAUUUUAUUGUAUGAGAUGAUCAUGUUUUGUAACCGAAGUUAUCGGCAACUGGCAGGAGCCAUAUGGUUGUCGCUUUAUUGUAUGAACUGCAAACGCCCUGUAAUUGCUUUACUUUAUCUCUAAGCAGUAGCGAUAGUCGUAGAAGCAAUAGAUGGCGUAACGACAAUGAUGCUACGAUGAAGAUCAAGGUGUCGCGCCGGUGAUGAUGGUGAUCACGACGGUGCUUCGAAGAUGGAGAUCACAAGCACAAGAUGAUGAUGGCCAUAUCAUAUCACUUAUAUUGAUUGCAUGUGAUGUUUAUCCUUUAUGCAUCUUAUCUUGCUUUGAUUGACGGUAGCAUUUUAAGAUGAUCUCUCACUAAUAAUCAAGAAGUGUUCUCCCUGAGUAUGCACCGUUGCGAAAGUUCUUCAUGCUGAGACACCACGUGAUGAUCGGGUGUGAUAGGCUCUACGUUCAAAUACAACGGGUGCAAAACAGUUGCACACGCGGAAUACUCAGGUCAUACUUGACGAGCCUAGCAUAUAUAGAUAUGGCCUCGGAACACGGAGACCGAAAGGUCAAGCGUGAAUCAUAUAGUAGAUAUGAUCAACAUAGUGAUGUUCACCAUUGAAACUACUCCAUCUCACGUGAUGAUCGGACAUGGUUUAGUUGAUUUGGAUCACGUGAUCACUUAGAUGACUAGAGAGAUGUCUGUCUAAUUGGGAGUUCUUAAGUAAUAUGAUUAAUUGAACUUUAAUUUAUCAUGAACUUAGUCCUGGUAGUAUUUUACAAAUUAUGUUGUAGAUCAAUAGCUUGCGUUGUUGCUUUCAUAUGUUUAUUUUGAUAUGUUCCUAGAGAAAAUUAUGUUGAAAAAUGUUGGUAGCAAUGAUGCGGAUUGGAUCCGUGAUCUGAGGUUUAUCCUCAUUGCUGCACAGAAGAAUUAUGUCCUUAAUGCACCGCUAGGUGAUAGACCUAUUGCAGGAGCAAAUGCAGACGUUAUGAACGUUUGGCUAGCUCAAUAUGAUGACUACUUGAUAGUUUAGUGCACCAUACUUAACAGCUUAGAAUCGGGACUUCAAAGACAUUUUGAACGUCAUGGACCAUAUGAGAUGUUCCAGGAGUUGAAGUUAAUAUUUCAAGAAAAUACCCGAGUUGAGAGAUAUGAAGUCUCCAACAAGUUCUAUAGCUAAAAGAUGGAGGAGAAUCGCUCAACUAGUGAGCAUGUGCUCAGAUUGUCUGGGUACUUCAAUCACUUGAAUCAAGUGGGAGUUAAUCUUCCAGAUAAGAUAGUGAUUGACAGAAUUCUCUAGUCACCAUCACUAAGUUACUAGAACUUCGUGAUGAACUAUAGUAUGCAAGGGAUGACGAAAACGAUUCUCGAGCUCUUCAUGAUGUUGAAAUCAACGAAGGUAGAAAUUGAGAAAGAGCAUCAAGUGUUGAUGGUUGACAAGAUCACUAGUUUCAAGAAAAGGGCAAAGGGAAAGAAAGGGAACUUCAAGCAGAAUGGCAAGCAAGUUGUCACUCCCGCGAAGAAGCCCAAAGCUGGACCAAAGCCUAAAACUGAGUGAUUAUACCGCAAAGGAAAUGGUCACUAGAAGCGGAAAUGCCUUGAAUAUUUGGUGGAUAAGAAGGAUGGCAAAGUGAACAAGGGUAUAUUUGAUAUACAUGUUAUUGAUGUGUACCUUACUAGUGUUUAUAGUAACCCCUGAGUAUUUGAUAAUUGUUCGGUUGCUAAGAUUAGUAACUCGAAACAGGAGUUACAGAAUAAACAGAAACUAGUUGAGGGUGAAGAGACGAUGUGUGUUGGAAGUGGUUCCAAGAUUCAUAUGAUCAUCAUCACACACUCCCUAUACCUUCGGGAUUAGUGUUAAACCUAAAUAAAUGUUAUUUGGCGUUUGCGUUGAACAUGAAUAUGAUUUGAUCAUGUUUAUUGCGAUACGGUUAUUCAUUUAAAGUCAAAGAAUAAUUGUUGUUCUGUUUACAUGAAUAAAACCUUCAAUGGUCAUACACCCAAUGAAAAUAGUUUGUUGGAUCUUGAUCGUAAUGAUACACAUAUUCAUAAUAUUGAUGCCAAAAGAUGCAAAGUUAAUAAUGAUAGUGCAACUUGUUUGUGGCACUGCCGUUUGGGUCAUAUCGGUGUAAAGCGCAUGAAGAAACUCCAUAACGAUGGAUUUUCGGAAUCACUUGGUUAUGAAUCAUUUGAUGCUUGCGAACCGUGCCUUUUGGGCAAGAUGACUAAAACUCCGUUCUCCGGAACAAUGGAACAAGCUACUGACUUAUUGGAAAUAAUACAUACUGAUGUAUGCGAUCCAAUGAGUGUUGAUGCUCGUGGCAAGUAUCGUUAUUUUCUGACCUUCACAAGAUGAUUUGAGCAGAUAUGGGUAUAUCUACUUGAUGAAACAUAAGUCUGAAAUAGUUGAAAGGUUCAAAGAAUUUCAGAGUGAAGUGGAAAAAUCAUCAUAACAAGAAAAUAAAGUUUCUGCGAUCUGAUCGCGAAGACGAAUAUUUGAGUUACGAGUUUGGUCUUCAAUUAAAACAAUGUGGAAUAGUUUCACAGCUCACGCCACAUGGAACACCACAAUGUAAUGGUGUGUCCGAACGUCGUAAUCGUACUUUACUAGAUAUGGUGCGAUCUAUGAUGUCUCUUAUCGGUUUACCACUAUCGUUUUGGGGUUAUGCAUUAGAGACAGUUGCAUUCACUUUAAAUAGGGCACCAUCAAAGUCCGUUGAGACGACGCCUUAUGAAUUGUGGUUUGGCAAGAAACCAAAGUUGUCGUUUCUUAAAUUUUGGGGCUGCGAUGCUUAUGUGAAAAAAGUUUCAACCUGAUAAACUCAAACCCAAAUCGGAGAAGUGCGUCUUCAUAGAAUACCCAAAGGUAACUAUUGGGUACACCUUCUAUCACAGAUCCGAAGGCAAGUUAUUCGUUGCUAAAAUGGAUCCUGUCUAGAGAAGAAGUUUCUCUCGAAAGAAGUGAGUGGGAGGUAAGUAGAACUUGAUGAGGUAACUAUACCUGCUCCCUUAUUGGAAAGUAGUUCAUCAUAGAAAUCUGUUCCUGUGACUACUACACCAAUUAGUGAGGAAGUUAAUGAUGAUGAUCAUGAAACUUCAGAUUAAGUUACUACAGAACCAUGUAGGUUUUCCAGAGUAAGAUCCGCACCAGAGUGGUACGGUAAUCCCGUUCUAGAAGUCAUGUUACUAGACCAUGAUGAACCUACGAACUAUGAGGAAGCGAUGAUGAGCCCAGAUUCCUCGAAAUGGCUUGAGGCCAUGAAAUCUGAGAUAGGAUCCAUGUAUGAGAACAAAGUAUGGACUUUGAUUGACUUGCUGGAUGAUCAGCAAGCCAUGUUAAAUAAAUGGAUCUUCAAGAGGAAGACAGACACUGAUAGUAGUGUUACUAUCUACUAAGCUCGACUUGUUGCGAAAGGUUUUCAACAAGUUCAAGGUAUUGAAUACGAUGAGAUUUUCUCACUUGUAUCGAAGCUUGAGUCUGUCAGGAUCAUGUUAGCAAUUGCCACAUUUUAUGAAAUCUGGCAAAUGGAUGUGAAAACUGCAUUCCUUAAUGGAUUUAUUCAAGAAGAGUUGUAUAUGAUGCAACCAGAAAGUUUUUGUCAAUCCUAAAGAUGCUAACAAAGUGUGCAAGCUCUAGCAAUCCAUCAAUGGACUGGUGCAAGCAUCUCGGAGUUGGAAUAUAUGCUUUGAUGAGUUGAUCAAAGCAUAUGGUUUUAUACAGACUUUUGAAGAAGCCUGUAUUUACAAGAAAGUGAGUGGGAGCUCUGUAGCAUUUCUAAUUAUUAUAUGUGGAUGACAUAUUGUUAAUUGGAAAUGAUAUGGAAAUUCUGGAUAGCAUGAAAGGAUACUUGAAUAAGAGUUUUUCAAAGCAAGACCUCGGUGAAGCUGCUUACACAUUGAGCAUCAAGAUCUAUAUAGAUAGAUCAAGACGCUUGAUAAGAUUUUUCAAUGAGUACAUACCUUGAUAAAUUUUUGAAAUAGUUCAAAAUGGAACAGUCAAAGAAGGAGUUCUUGCCUGUAUUACAAGGUGUGAAGUUGAGUAAGACUCAAGACCCGACCAUUGCAAAAAAUAGAAAGAGAAUGAAAAGUCAUUCCCUAUGCCUCAGUCAUAGGUUCUAUAAAGUAUGCUAUGCUGUGAACUAGACCUAUUGUAUACCUUGCUCUGUGUUUGGCAAAGGAAUACAAUUUUGAUCUAAUAAGUAGAUCACUGGACAUGGGUCAAGAAUAUCCUUAGUGAGGACUAAGGAGAUGUUUCUCGAUUAUGGAGGUGAUAAAAGAGCCCGUCGUUAAAGUUACAACGAUGCAAGCUUUUACACCAAUCCAGAUGACUCAAAGUCUCAAUCUGGAUACAUAUUGAAAGUGGGAGCAAUUAGCUAGAGUAGCUCCGUGCAGAGCAUUGUGGACAUAGAAUAUUUGCGAAAUACCUACGGCUCUGAAUAUGACAGACCCGUUGAUUGAGCUUCUCUCACGAGCAAAACAUGAUCAUACUCUAGUAAACCCUUUGGGUGUUGAUCACAUGAUGAUGUGAACUAUGGGUAUUAAUCACAUGCAGAUGUGAAUAUUGGUGUUAAAUCACAUAGCGAUGUGAACUAGAUUAUUGACUCUAGUGCAAGUGGGAGACUGAAGGAAAUAUGCCCUAGAGGCAAUAAUAAAGUUAUUAUUUAUUUCCUCAUAUCAUGAUAAAUGUUUAUUAUUCAUGCUAGAAUUGUAUUAACCGGAAACAUGAUACAUGUGUGAAUACAUAGACAAACAUAUAGUCACUAGUAUGCCUCUACUAGACUAGCUCAUUAAUCAAAGAUGGUUAUGUUUCCUAACCAUAGACAUGUGUUAUCAUUUGAUUAAUGGGAUCACAUCGUUAGGAGAAUGAUGUGAUUGACAUGACCCAUUCCGUUAGCCUAGCACUUGAUCGUUUAGUAUAUUGCUAUUGCUUUCUUCAUGACUUAUACAUGUUCCUGUAACUAUGACAAUUAUGCAACUCCCGUUUACCGAAGGAACACUUUGGGUACUACCAAACAUCAUAACGUAACUGGGUGAUUAUAAAGGAGUACUACAGGUGUCUCCGAAGGUACAUGUUGAGUUGGCAUAUUUCGAGAUUAGGUUUUGUCACUCCGAUUGUCGGAGAGGUAUCUCUGGGCCCUCUCGGUAAUGCACAUCACUAUAAGCCUUGCAAGCAAUGUGACCAAAUGAGUUGGUUACGGGAUGAUGCAUUACGGAACGAGUAAAGAGACUUGCCGGUAACGAGAUUGAACUAGGUAUUGGAUACCGACGAUCAAAUCUCGGGCAAGUAACAUACCGAUGACAAAGGGAACAACGUAUGUUGUUAUGCGAUUUGACCGAUAAAGAUCUUCGUAGAAUAUGUAGGAACCAAUAUGAGCAUCUAGGUUCCGCUAUUGGUUAUUGACCGAGAAUAGUUCUAGGUCAUGUCUACAUAGUUCUCGAACCCGUAGGGUCCGCACGCUUAACGUUACGAUGACAGUUUUAUUAUGAGUUUAUAAGUUUUGAUGUACCGAAGUUUGUUCGGAGUCCCGGAUGUGAUCACGGACGUAACGAGGAGUCUCGAAAUGGUCGAGACAUAAAGAUUGAUAUAUUGUAAGCCUAUAUUUGGACAUCAGAAUCAUUCCGGGUGAAAUCGGCAUUUUACCGGAGCACCGGGAGGUUACCGGAACCCCCCCCCGGGGGUUAUUGGGCCUACAUGGGCCUCGAGGGAGAAGAGAGAAGGAGGCAGGAGGGGGCCGUGCGCCCCUCCCCUUCCUAGUCCGAAUAGGACAAGGGAAGGGGGGCGGCGCCCCCCCUUUCCUUCCCCUCUUCCUCCUCUUUCCCCCCUUCUCCUAUUCCAACUAGGAAAGAAGGGAGUCCUACUCCCGGUGGGAGUAGGACUCCCCCCUUGGCGCGCCCUCCUUGGCCGGCCGCCUCCUCCCCCCUGGCUCCUUUAUAUACGGGGGCGGGGGGCAACCCAUGGACACACAAGUUGAUCUACGGAUCGUUCCUUAGCCGUGUGCGGUGCCCCCCUCCACCAUAUUCCACCUCGGUCAUAUCGUCGCGAAGCUUAGGCGAAGCCCUGCGCCGGUAGAACAUCAUCAUCGUCACCACGCCGUCGUGCUGACGGAACUCAUCCCCGAAGCUUUGCUGGAUCGGAGCCCGGGGAUCGUCAUCGAGCUGAACGUGUGCUGAACUCGGAGGUGUCGUACGUUCGGUGCUUGGAUCGGUCGAAUCGUGAAGACGUACGACUACAUCAACCGCGUUGUGCUAACGCUUCCUCUUACGGUCUACGAGGGUACGUGGACAAACACUCUCCCCUCUCGUUGCUAUGCCAUCACCAUGAUCUUGCGUGUGCGUAGGAAAUGUUUUGAAAUUACUACGUUCCCCAACACAAAGGACAUGUUUCUCGUUUAUGGAGGUGACGAAGAGCUUGUCGUAAAGGGUUAUGUCGACGCUAGCUUCAACACAGAUCUGGAUGACUCUAAGUCACAAAUCGGAUACGUGUAUAUGUUGAAUGGUGGAGCAGUAAGUUGGUGCAGCUGCAAGCAGAGCGUCGUGGCGGGAUCUACAUGUGAAGCGGAGUACAUGGCAGCCUCGGAGGCAGCGCAUGAAGCAAUUUGGGUGAAGGAGUUCAUCACCAACCUAGGAGUCAUACCCAAUGCGUCGGGGCCGAUCAAACUCUUCUGUGACAACACUGGAGCUAUUGCCCUUGCCAAGGAGCCCAGGUUCCACAAGAAGACCAGGCACAUCAAGCGUCGUUUCAACUCCAUCCGUGAAAAUGUUCAAGAUGGAGACAUAGAUAUUUGCAAAGUACAUACGGAUCUGAAUGUCGCAGAUCCGUUGACUAAACCUCUCUCGCGAGCAAAACAUGAUCAACAACAGAACUCUAUGGGUGUUCGAUUCAUCACAAUGUAACUAGAUUAUUAACUCUAGUGCAAGUGGGAGACUGUUGGAAAUAUGCCCUAGAGGCAAUAAUAAAAGGAUUAUUAUUAUAUUUCCUUGUUCAUGAUAAUUGUCUUUUAUUCAUGCUAUAACUGUAUUAUCCGGAAAUUGUAAUACACGUGUGAAUACAUAGACCAUAACAUGUCCCUAGUGAGCCUCUAGUUGACUAGCUCGUUUGUCAAUAGAUAGUCAUGGUUUCCUGACUAUGGACAUUAGAUGUCAUUGACAACGGGAUCACAUCAUUAGGAGAAUGAUGUGAUGGACAAGACCCAAUCCUAAGCAUAGCACAAGAUCGUGUAGUUCAUUUUGCUAGAGCUUUUCCAAUGUCAAGUAUCUCUUCCUUAGACCAUGAGAUCGUGUAACUCCCGGAUACCGUAGGAAUGCUUUGGGUGUACCAAACGUCACAACGUAACUGGGUGACAAUAAAGGUGCACUACAGGUAUCUCUGAAAGUGUCUGUUGGGUUGACACGGAUCGAGACUGGGAUUUGUCACUCCGUAUGACGGAGAGGUAUCACUGGGCCCACUCGGUAGUGCAUCAUCAUAAUGAGCUCAAAGUGACCAAGUGUUUGGUCACGGGAUCAUGCAUUACGAUACGAGUAAAGUGACUUGCCGGUAACGAGACUAACGAGGUAUUGGGAUACCGACGAUCGAGUCUCGGGCAAGUACAUACCAUCUAACAAAGGGAAUUGCAUACGGGGUUGAUUGAAUCCUCGACAUCGUGGUUCAUCCGAUGACAUCAUCGAGGAGCAUGUGGGAGCCAACAUGGGUAUCCAGAUCCCGCUGUUGGUUAUUGACCGGAGAGCCGUCUCGGUCAUGUCUGCAUAUCUCCCGAACCCGUAGGGUCUACACACUUAAGGUUCGGCGACGCUAGGGUUAUUAGGAAGACUUGUAUGUGAUUACCGAAAGUUGUUUGGAGUCCCGGAUGGGAUCCCGGACGUCACGAGGAGUUCCGGAAUGGUCCGGAGGUAAAGAUUUAUAUAUGGGAAGUUGUCAUACGGACACCGGAAGGUUUCGGGGGCAUAUCGGUAUUGUACCGGGGCCACCGGAAGGGUUCCGGGGGUCCACUGGGAGGGGCCACCCCUCCCGGGGGGGGCACAUGGGCCGCGUGGGGCAGGAGCCAGCCCCUGGAGGGCUGGGCGCCCCCCCCCUUGGGCCCAUGCGCCUAGGGUUGGGGGGGAACCCUAGAGGGGGCGCCCCCCUUGCUUGGGGGGAAAGUCCCCCCUCCCUGGCCGCCGCCCCCCCCUCUAGAUCCCAUCUAGAGGGGCCGGCCCCCCUUGCCCCUUCCCCUAUAAAUAGAGGGGUGAGGGGAGGGCUGAACGACCAAGCCAAGGCGCAGCCCCUCCCCUCCCCAACACCUCUCCUCCUCCGUUGUGUGCUUGGCGAAGCCCUGUCGGAGUACUGCCUCUCCACCAUCAUCACGCCAUCGUGCUGCUGCUGGAGCCUUCUUCCUCAACCUCUCCUUCCCCCUUGCUGGAUCAAGAAGGAGGAGACGUCGCCCGUACCGUACGUGUGUUGAAUGCGGAGGUGCUGUCCGUUCAGCACUUGGUCAUCGGUGAUCUGAAUCACGGCGAGUACGACUCCAUCAUCACCGUUCCCUCGAACGCUUCCGUACGCGAUCUACAAGUGGUAUGUAGAUGCAAACUCACUCCCUUGACUCGUUGCUUAGAUGAACUCAUAGAUGGAUCUUGGUGAAACCGUAGAAAAAAUUUUAAUUUUCUGCAACGUUCCCCAACACUUUCAACUUGAGGGGCAGGUAUUUAGUGGCGUGGAGAUCAUCUCCGAGAGCCAUGUAGAUGUGAAGGAUAAAGUCCUCAAUCCAGACCCCAGGGUCUGUCGUUCCAUCGUAUGCCUCUAUAUUCACGGGUUUAAAUCCCUCUAGAAAUUCAUGAUCCAGCACCUCAUCGGUGAAGCACAGGGGGUGUGCGGCACCCCUGUAUUUGCAUGUGUCGUGGCAUGCUGUCGAUGGUUGUUGUGUUCGGUGUUGAUUCCGAGCUAGUAUUCGAUCAAUAUGGUCAUUUUGGUGGCUGUGAUCCUGCGCCUGAACGCGCUUCCUAGAUCCGUAGAUGGACCUGGCCAUACCGGCUUUUUUGUCCAAGAGCUCAUGUAAAUCGUGUGCGGACUAGUGUGCGGCAUCAUUAGCCGCCCUGUCGCGACCACGAGGUGGUCGGUCCGGCAGAUCGGUCAUUUUAUUUUUCGGCUGAAUGGGAUCUAUAGCCUCAUCGUCGAAUUCAGGCAGCAGCUUGCGCUUUGGGUAGCUCUUUGUGUGGCGAUUGCCACCGUAUUUUUCUUCAAUGUCAAGCACUUUGUUCCAUCUGCGGUUGAGCGUGUCCUGCCCGGCCUUAAGCCUUUGCUUCUGCUUCUUCAAGCUCCUCACGGUGGCAAUAAGCCUUCUAUGGAGGUUCUCUUGUUCCAAGUGUUUUUCCGGGAUGAUGAGUGCAUCGUCGUCCGGACUGUUCUCCUCUCCGGAGACAGGUUGAUCAGUUUUACCCUUGGGAUCGCCAUCAUCGGACAUCGGCUCCGGACUAUGUUCACCGUCCCCUGGCACUUCCUGCUCCAUCGUUGGGUCCAUGGGGUCGUCGUUUCCUUUGGAGUCGACCGGGGUGUUAUUCUUUCUUGCGUUGUUAUCGUUGUUUUUACUGUGGCGGGAUUUAGAGCGGCGCCUACGUCGUCGCUUUGGUUGCUGCACGAGGGCAUUAUCCUCCAUUGCAUCCUUCCGCUCCUCACCGCUAUUUUCUUUGGGUGUAUCCACCAUGUAUAUAUCAUAUGACGAAGUGGCAGUCCAGCACCUUGUGGGCGGUGGUUCCUGUUCUUCUCCUGCAUCGUCGUCCAUACCGUCGAUGUCUUCGGAGUCGAAGUCAAGCAUGUCGGUGAAGUUAUCGACAGUGGCUAUUAAGUGGGUGGUGGGUGGGGAAUGAAUUUCUUCGUCGUCCGCUUCCCGCUCAAGCCGGAUAUAGUUUGGCCAAGAAUCUCCUGACAGAGAGAGAGACCACAAUGAAUUUAGCACGUUGCCCAAGGGCGAGUGCUGAAAGAUAUCCGCGGAGGUAAAAUCCGUGAUCGGUGCCCAACCAGAUUCGAUAGCCACGGACGCACACGGUUCGGAACCUAUAGCCGGAGACGAGUCCGAGGGUCCGAUGACAUAGAUCUCUUUGGAGGUGAAGUCUGUGUUCGGCUCCGUCGAAGAUCAAGUCUCCGCGGAUGUCGGCAGUGUAGUUCAAGUUUCCAAACCUGACCUGACGGCCAGGGGCGUAGCUAUCGAUCUGCUCCAGAUGGCCAAGCGAGUUGGCCUGCAAUACGAAGCCGCCGAAUAUGAAGAUCUGUCCGGGGAGGAAAACCUCACCCUGGACCGCAUCGUUGCAGAUGAUUGAAGGAGCCAUCAAGCCUUAUCGUGACGACACAGUGGAACUCUCAAUGAAAGCACCAAUGUCGGUGUCAAAACCGGCGGAUCUCGGGUAAGGGGUCCCGAACUGUGCGUCUAAGGCUAAUGGUAACAGGAGGCGGGGGACAUGAUGUUUACCCAGGUUCAGGCCCUCUCGAUGGAGGUAAUACCCUACUUCCUGCUUGAUUGAUCUUGAUGAUAUGAGUAUUAAAAGAGUUGAUCUACCACGAGAUCAUAGAGGCUAAACCCUAGAAGCUAGCCUAUGAUUAUGAUUGUUCUUAUCCUACGGACUGAACCCUCCGGUUUAUAUAGACACAGGAGGGGGCUAGGGUUACACAGAGUCGGUUACAGAGAAGGAGAUCUACAUAUCCGAAUUGCCAAGCUUGCCUUCCACGCAAAGGAGAGUCCCACCCGGACAUGGGACGAAGUCUUCAAUCUUGUAUCUUCAUAGUCCAACAGUCCGGCCAAAAUAUAUNNNNNNNNNNNNNNNNNNNNNNNNNNNNNNNNNNNNNNNNNNNNNNNNNNNNNNNNNNNNNNNNNNNNNNNNNNNNNNNNNNNNNNNNNNNNNNNNNNNNNNNNNNNNNNNNNNNNNNNNNNNNNNNNNNNNNNNNNNNNNNNNNNNNNNNNNNNNNNNNNNNNNNNNNNNNNNNCAAAAAACACACAUACACAUUUGUGAUCCUUCUAAGGCAGGAUGACCCAAGCUAUUCUGGGUGCCUUGUGACACCUUGUACUCUAGCCUCUACAAUAAUGCCAAUGUCAUCUUCUUCCACCCCCUGGCUCACCACCGUUCCCCAAUUCUCAAUGGACGUGUGCAAGAAUAACAGAAGUGGAGAAAAUAAAAAUGGUUAGAUGCUCAAAUCUAAAUAAAGUAUAUGCUAAUAAAAUCAAUUAUGUUUGAGUCAAAAUUAUUAGACAUGAGUGCAAAGGAAAAAACUCUCAAAUCAUCAAAUCAUGGCCCCCCGAAUCGCCUCGACGACACUAUUGUUCCCAUCUGGUGCCGCCUUUCCCCACCUGCGAGUCAUCCCGCUACCACCCGCGUUUCCCUUUCCCUGCAGUCAGAUCAUGUUGUUGCCAUUGUCCUUGCCUGCUACUCCAAUCGAGAAAUGGCCGUGCUGCGAGACAAACGAUGACAACCUCGACCUGCACCCCAUAGAUUGCGGAUGGCAAACGCUUGUUCAUAAGGCCAUGUUGAUUGUGUACUGGUUGCAAUAUUUUUUUCCUCCUCAUUGUCAAGAAAGAUCUAAAGAUAAACCAACCCUCUCAUCUUGCUAUGUUAGAGCAAGAACAAUGAGAAAUGUAUAGGACGAGGAAUGUAGCAGCCCAGCGGUAGAAUGGAUUCUUUAAAUUCAUAAACAAAACAUAUUGGAAAACCCAAUGCAAAUUUUUACUAUUAUAAUACAACUUUAAUCUAUUCAUUGAUUUUCUUUAGACUAUGUUUGGAUGUAUGAAUUGGAAGGCACAAUACUGCAUUGGGCCGAAUACCAACUCUCCAAGGAAACUGAAAUCGGUCUGAAUACGAAUUAUGUGCUUUGGUUGUUCACUGAAUUGCCCCAUGGAAUCUUAUAAUUAGGCUUCUAUUUCAAAUCCAGUUUGGAUGACAAACUUCAGAAUUGCAUAUAUACAUGAGUAGGCAGAUUAUGCCUUGCUCUGCAUGUAUCAGAACAAAAUCUACAUAAUUUGCGACUAUAUUUACAGGUCCAUAUACCAGUCAAAUGCAUUCAAAUGAUUCUAGGAAUGCACCACCACAGCAAAAAUGUUCACGCAAUGGAUGCAACAAUUAUUUUCUAGGACAAUAAAGCAGCAAGCACAUCGGCAACCAUCAUUAGAAGCACUAGCAGCAGAAAAUUCCUCCCGGAAUAAAACUCACCACCCAAUUCCCAGCGAGAGUUUCUCUUCUUCUCCACGACAUAGGAAAAUACAUCACAGUAGCUAUCAAGGAUAGCAAUACCAUUCAUCCAUCUCUCUCUCUCUCCACGAGCGCUAUUUAUCGCAUUCAGCAAGGCCGAAGGUUCGUCCCGCUGAAGCGAUUCUACCAAUCGGGUCGGCCCAGUAGCGCACAGUGAAACAGAAAAAUAAGGAAGAAAAUGAGGAGAGCAACUAGUUUGACGAGCACUUCUUCGGAAGCCUCAAAACGAUCAGCAUCACUUAGCGUGCUCUCAGCCGCCACCACGUGUCGCGCUUUGGACGCUCGCUUCGGGUUUUUUUUCACACGCGUUUUGGUUCAUUUUUGGUUUUCAUUUUCUGGUUUUCAUUAUUUGGUUUUGUUGUGUGAAAAAUGAAAACUUUAGUAUGUUUCAUUUUUGUUUCUCAUUUUCUGGUUUUGUUGUGUUUCUUUUGUUUUUGUUCUACAUUUUUUUAUAUUCCGAAAAUAUUUUCUUACUAAAUGAUCGACAUUUCUUGUAUACACUUUCAACAUUGUCCAAACGUUUAUUUAACAUUUUAUAAAUACUUGUUCAACUUUUUUAAUACUUAUUCAACAUUUUUCAAAGUUCAACAUUUUUCAGAUAAUCGUUCAAUAUUUGAAAUACUUGGUCAACAUUUUCCGAAUACUUGUUCAAUAUUGAUAAUACGUAUUCAACAAUUUUCCAAUAAUUUUUUAAUAUUUUUAAAUACUUUUUCAACAUUUUUCAAAGUUCAGUAUUUUUUAAUACUUAUUCAACAUUUUCAAAUACUUGUGCAGCAUUUUUAAUAUACUUGUUCAACAUUUUUUAAUACAUAUUCAAUAUUUUUCAAAUACUUGUUAAACAUUUUUUAAACUUGUUCAACAUUUUUGAAUACCUAUUCAACAUAUUUGAAAUACUUGUUCAACAUUGUUUAAAUACAUAAUCAACUUUUUGCAUACAUAUUUGAAUUUUACUGUAUAAAUUUUGUGUAUAGAUGAUAAAGAAUUUUUUCAGUAUGCAUUCAACAUUUUUUUUCAAAUGCUUAGUGUAUAUUUUUUAAAAUGUUUUUUUUACUUUGAUUGACAGUUAGGUCAUGUUCCCUCUGUCGGUUUAUGCAUCAUGUUCUAAGUACAUGGCAGGAUGGCUAGCAUCACAGCUCCUAGCGAAGCAACCAAGGCUCAAAUCCUGGUACCUACCAGUUUUUCUUUUUCGGUCGAGUUCGAGGCAGGUGCUCGAAGAGGCGUGUCUUGGAGCCACAGAUCCAUUCCAAAGGAGUGAGCAGGGCCUGCCCUGGUGUAUGGUCAGAGGGGCGACAGCCCAUGGCCCAGGACGGAGGGGGCCCAUGAUGUAGUAUAGAUAUACUCCCUCCGUUCUAAAUUUAAGUCUUUGUAGAGAUUCCACUGGGUGGACGACAUACGGAGCAAAAUGAAUGAAUCCACACUUAAAAUAAUCUAUAUACAUCCGUAUGCAGUUCAUAGUGGAAUCUCUACAAAGACUUAUAUUUAAGAACGGAGGGAGUAUAAUAUAGCUGAGUCAGGUGUCGCGUGCUCCGUUCCUAAAUUUAAGUCUUUGUAGAGAUUCCACUGGGUGGACGACAUACGGAGCAAAAUGAAUGAAUCCACACUUAAAAUACAUCUAUAUACAUCCGUAUGCAGUUCAUAGUGGAAUCUCUACAAAGACUUAUAUUUAGAAACGGAGGGAGUAUAAUAUAGCUGAGUGAGGUGUCGCGUGCAUGGAGGACUGUGGUCGCCGUCAUCGAGCUCGUGGACCCACGAUGCGGUUCGAAGCCUAUGGUUCGAUGUGUGAAUUGGAGGACACAACAUUGCAUUGGGCUGAAUACCAAUUCUCCAAGGAAACUGAAAUCGGUCUGAAUACCAAUGAUGUUGUUUGGUUGUUCACUAAAUUGGCUCAUUUAAUCUUAUAGUUAGGCUUCAAUUCCAAAUCCUGUUUGGAUGCCAAACUUUGGAAUUGCAUAUGUAAAUGAGUAUGGAGAUUACUUUGCUCUUUGUGUAUCGAAACAAAAGUUGCAGUCUCUGACUAUAUUUGCAUGUUUAUAUUGCAGUCAAACAUAUUCGAAUGAUUCUAGAAAUGCAGCACGCAACAAAAAUGUUCACACAAUGGCUGCAAUAAUUCUUUUCUAGGAUAAUAUAGCAGCAAGCACACAAGCAACCAUCAUUAGAAGCAUUAGCAGCCGAAAAUUACUCUCUGAAUAAAAUUCAUCGGCAAAAACAUUCAGUGUUCUUACAGACUCGGUGGCAUUCAGCGACAGCAAAAUUCAGUAGCAGCAGAGCACCACCCAAUUACUAUAUUCACGUGUCUAUAUAGCAAUCAAACACAUUCGAAUGAUUCGAGGAAUGCACCACCACAACAAAAAUGUUCAUGCAAUGGCUGCAACAAUUCUUUUCUAGGACAAUAUAGCAGCAAGCACAGAAGCACUAGCAGCAGAAAAUUCCUCUCUGAAUAAAACUCACCAGCAACAACAUUCAGCGUUCUUACCUAGCAUUGUGUCGAUUGGGCCUUCGAGUUCGAGGUAUGUGCUCGAAGGGGUGCGUCGAGGACCUGUUCAUGGCUGGUGACAUUACUGCAGAUCUCGGAGCCGCAGAUCCAUUCCAGAGUGAGGUGUCGCGUGCAUGGAGGACUGUGGUCACAGUCAUCGAACCCCGUGGACCCAUAAUGCACUUCGAAGCCUAUGGUUGCCUCAUGCGUGGGGUAGCUCCUGGCCGACCGCCGGUGUCGAGCUCCUGGGCGCCGCUGCUCUUUUUCUUUUUGGCGAGGGGCGCCGCCGCUCUUCUCCUCUCCCCUUGAUGUAGUGAAGCGAUUUCAGACAAUGCGGAGGUGUGCGGGAAUUGAGUCAAGUUUUUCCCAUCAUUUUUUUUCAUCUAAAAAAAAGUGGUUGUAUUGGGGACUGGCGAGUACCAAUUGACAAAUCCAAAGCCGGAAUACAUUUAGCCAAACGCAAUUAAUGUUUAUUUUCAUUCCAUUUGCAACCCC
Molecule: long non-coding RNA, 33702 nt
Filed under: Triticum aestivum (bread wheat)
Lineage: Eukaryota; Viridiplantae; Streptophyta; Magnoliopsida; Poales; Poaceae
Description: long non-coding RNA (TAES_LNC017011)
Source: RNAcentral